RNAcentral lists this transfer RNA (71 nucleotides) under Loxodonta africana (African savanna elephant). It matches the Rfam family "tRNA". From Rfam's summary of the family: Transfer RNA (tRNA) molecules are approximately 80 nucleotides in length. Their secondary structure includes four short double-helical elements and three loops (D, anti-codon, and T loops). The record is from Rfam by way of RNAcentral. Lineage: Eukaryota; Metazoa; Chordata; Mammalia; Proboscidea; Elephantidae.
GUAGUGGUAGUUCAGUGGUAGAAUUCUCAACUUUCAUGAGAGAGAGUCAGGUUCAAACCCUGGUCAACGCA